GAAAUGCGAUAAGUAAUGUGAAUUGCAGAAUUCAGUGAAUCAUCGAAUCUUUGAACGCAUAUUGCGCCCAUUAGUAUUCUAGUGGGCAUGCCUAUUCGAGCGUCAUUUCAACCCUUAAGCCCUGUUGCUUAGUGUUAGGAACCUACGGGCCGUAAGAGGCCAGUAGCUCCCUAAAGGUAGUGGCGGUGUUAGGUACACUCGUAGCGUAGUACAUUUAUUCUCGCUCCUGCAGAGUACCUAGGGCCUGCCGUGAAACCCCCUUAUAUCUUCUAGUGGUUGACCUCGGAUUAGGUAGGAAUACCCGCUGAACUUAA
This 314-nucleotide unclassified non-coding RNA is filed under the name uncultured Hypoxylon. RNAcentral's name for it is "sequence contains ITS1". The stretch from base 1 to 105 matches the Rfam family "5.8S ribosomal RNA", at positions 50 to 154 of the family's 154-position model. The record is from RNAcentral. Lineage: Eukaryota; Fungi; Ascomycota; Sordariomycetes; Xylariales; Xylariaceae.